Molecule: ribosomal RNA, 1483 nt
Filed under: Lactiplantibacillus plantarum
Lineage: Bacteria; Bacillati; Bacillota; Bacilli; Lactobacillales; Lactobacillaceae
Description: bacterial SSU rRNA
Rfam family: Bacterial small subunit ribosomal RNA
Source: RNAcentral
GAACGCUGGCGGCGUGCCUAAUACAUGCAAGUCGAACGAACUCUGGUAUUGAUUGGUGCUUGCAUCAUGAUUUACAUUUGAGUGAGUGGCGAACUGGUGAGUAACACGUGGGAAACCUGCCCAGAAGCGGGGGAUAACACCUGGAAACAGAUGCUAAUACCGCAUAACAACUUGGACCGCAUGGUCCGAGUUUGAAAGAUGGCUUCGGCUAUCACUUUUGGAUGGUCCCGCGGCGUAUUAGCUAGAUGGUGAGGUAACGGCUCACCAUGGCAAUGAUACGUAGCCGACCUGAGAGGGUAAUCGGCCACAUUGGGACUGAGACACGGCCCAAACUCCUACGGGAGGCAGCAGUAGGGAAUCUUCCACAAUGGACGAAAGUCUGAUGGAGCAACGCCGCGUGAGUGAAGAAGGGUUUCGGCUCGUAAAACUCUGUUGUUAAAGAAGAACAUAUCUGAGAGUAACUGUUCAGGUAUUGACGGUAUUUAACCAGAAAGCCACGGCUAACUACGUGCCAGCAGCCGCGGUAAUACGUAGGUGGCAAGCGUUGUCCGGAUUUAUUGGGCGUAAAGCGAGCGCAGGCGGUUUUUUAAGUCUGAUGUGAAAGCCUUCGGCUCAACCGAAGAAGUGCAUCGGAAACUGGGAAACUUGAGUGCAGAAGAGGACAGUGGAACUCCAUGUGUAGCGGUGAAAUGCGUAGAUAUAUGGAAGAACACCAGUGGCGAAGGCGGCUGUCUGGUCUGUAACUGACGCUGAGGCUCGAAAGUAUGGGUAGCAAACAGGAUUAGAUACCCUGGUAGUCCAUACCGUAAACGAUGAAUGCUAAGUGUUGGAGGGUUUCCGCCCUUCAGUGCUGCAGCUAACGCAUUAAGCAUUCCGCCUGGGGAGUACGGCCGCAAGGCUGAAACUCAAAGGAAUUGACGGGGGCCCGCACAAGCGGUGGAGCAUGUGGUUUAAUUCGAAGCUACGCGAAGAACCUUACCAGGUCUUGACAUACUAUGCAAAUCUAAGAGAUUAGACGUUCCCUUCGGGGACAUGGAUACAGGUGGUGCAUGGUUGUCGUCAGCUCGUGUCGUGAGAUGUUGGGUUAAGUCCCGCAACGAGCGCAACCCUUAUUAUCAGUUGCCAGCAUUAAGUUGGGCACUCUGGUGAGACUGCCGGUGACAAACCGGAGGAAGGUGGGGAUGACGUCAAAUCAUCAUGCCCCUUAUGACCUGGGCUACACACGUGCUACAAUGGAUGGUACAACGAGUUGCGAACUCGCGAGAGUAAGCUAAUCUCUUAAAGCCAUUCUCAGUUCGGAUUGUAGGCUGCAACUCGCCUACAUGAAGUCGGAAUCGCUAGUAAUCGCGGAUCAGCAUGCCGCGGUGAAUACGUUCCCGGGCCUUGUACACACCGCCCGUCACACCAUGAGAGUUUGUAACACCCAAAGUCGGUGGGGUAACCUUUUAGGAACCAGCCGCCUAAGGUGGGACAGAUGAUUUAG